RNAcentral lists this unclassified non-coding RNA (149 nucleotides) under uncultured Leotiomycetes. RNAcentral's name for it is "sequence contains ITS2". The record is from RNAcentral. Lineage: Eukaryota; Fungi; Ascomycota; Leotiomycetes.
CGACCAACAAGCUCAAAGCUUGGUGUUGGAUGCCACCACUGUAUGUUAGGGUGCAUCUUAAAAUCAAUAAGCAGUAUUCUCGGCUUCGAGCGUAGUAAUUUAUUUCGCUUUUGGUGCUUUAGAUGUUCUGCUAAAUUAAAUACAUCAUG